ACUGAUCCUGAGGACGGCGUCCACUACGCCUCCAUCACUCAGACCAAAAAGACCAAAAAGACCAAAAAGACUAAAGAGACAAAGGAAAAACCAAGAAUCCCCGACUCUGUGACAUACAGCACUCUGAAUACUUCUGCUGCUCAGGUUACCAUCGAUCUUGACAGUCUCUACUCUACACUCAGUAAAUAAGUGGGAUUAGAUCAUGUUUAAUAAACCAGGUGGAUUAUUUCCAACAACUUUAAUCUAGAUAAAACUGAAAAUGACUGAAUGUUUUCAAGAUCAGUGAUCAUUGGGGCCCUCUAGUGGAGAGAAGCAGGAAACGUAAACUCUGUAAAAUUAUUUUUUCUUGUAAAAUACCAGUAAUACUGAACGCUUGUGCACAAUGACUGCUAAAGGUUAUUUUUUUAAAAUAUAUCUCCAAUGUCCAUGUUCUUCUGUGCUUUAUAGUACAUAAUGUUUGACCGUUAUGGUAUAAAUAUCUUUGAACUUUUGUGGUUUCACACUGAGUGGGAAGCAAUUGCUAAAUUUUUCCAUAAUGUCAGACAUGUUGAAGUUUAAAUU
Molecule: long non-coding RNA, 561 nt
Organism: Poecilia latipinna (sailfin molly)
Lineage: Eukaryota; Metazoa; Chordata; Actinopteri; Cyprinodontiformes; Poeciliidae
Exons: 2
Source: RefSeq, a predicted model, not a curated record